Vidua macroura (Pin-tailed whydah) is the source of this 573-nucleotide long non-coding RNA. RefSeq lists it as uncharacterized. The transcript has 3 exons. The record is from RefSeq and is a predicted model, not a curated record. Lineage: Eukaryota; Metazoa; Chordata; Aves; Passeriformes; Viduidae.
GUGCAGGACUCUGCCCCAGAUGACCAUUUGGGACCUUUGCCUGAGAACGACGCAGCUCAGGAGCCGAGUGCUUUCAAGUUUUCCUUCUUUGGAGACACAGAGGACUUGUGCAUCAAAGAAGAUAAAAUGAGGCCUUGUGAAAAGAAGAUGAAACAACAUUAAAUCGAGUCACAGUCCUGAAGGAGAGAAGAGGAACUGUGUGAAGUUAUGCCAAAUAUUAAAAAAAAAGAAACCAAUGCAACAAGACAAAGCAACCAGCCUCCCACACUUGUGCUGAAUUCAGAAGGAAUUCAGUGUCUUCUGAAUGCAAUGAUAAAUGCUUAUGAACACAGAAGAGAUCCCUAGAACAAACUGGAAAAUCCUGGAGCAGAGAUGUAGCUCAGAAAAUCAGGCAGGAGCAGAUUCUGUCCUUCCUAAAUCUGUCUUCUCCACUAGCCUUGCGGACUUGGAACAAUAAAGCCGGUAAAAGUCACAUGGCAGGAGGCUUCACGUUUCCAAGACAGCCGUUCUGAGGGUGCUGAUGAGCCUGAGACGUGAGAAAUUGAAAAGGACCGAGAAAUGCAAGUUCCGUUU